UACAGAGGUCCCAAGCGUUGUUCGGAUUCACUGGGCGUAAAGGGUGCGUAGGCGGUCGGGUAAGUCUGAUGUGAAAGCUCGAAGCUUAACUUCGAAAUGGCAUUGGAUACUAUUCGGCUUGAGGAAUGGAGGGGAGACUGGAAUGCUCGGUGUAGCAAUGAAAUGCGUAGAUAUCGAGCGGAACACCAGUGGCGAAGGCGAGUCUCUGGACAUUUCCUGACGCUGAGGCACGAAAGCCAGGGGAGCAAACGGG
This 253-nucleotide ribosomal RNA is filed under the name uncultured prokaryote. Its description in RNAcentral is "partial 16S ribosomal RNA". It matches the Rfam family "Bacterial small subunit ribosomal RNA", at positions 524 to 776 of the family's 1533-position model. The record is from RNAcentral.